CGCGGAGUGGAGCAGUCUGGUAGCUCGUUGGGCUCAUAACCCAAAGGCCGCAGGUUCAAAUCCUGCCUCCGUUA
Molecule: transfer RNA, 74 nt
Filed under: Clostridiales bacterium
Lineage: Bacteria; Bacillati; Bacillota; Clostridia; Eubacteriales
Description: tRNA-Met
Rfam family: tRNA
About the family: Transfer RNA (tRNA) molecules are approximately 80 nucleotides in length.
Source: RNAcentral